RNAcentral lists this ribosomal RNA (584 nucleotides) under Chaetomium globosum. Its description in RNAcentral is "LSU rRNA". It matches the Rfam family "Eukaryotic large subunit ribosomal RNA", at positions 38 to 648 of the family's 3401-position model. The record is from RNAcentral. Lineage: Eukaryota; Fungi; Ascomycota; Sordariomycetes; Sordariales; Chaetomiaceae.
GCAUAUCAAUAAGCGGAGGAAAAGAAACCAACAGGGAUUGCCCUAGUAACGGCGAGUGAAGCGGCAACAGCUCAAAUUUGAAAUCUGGCUUCGGCCCGAGUUGUAAUUUGCAGAGGAAGCUUUAGGCGCGGCACCUUCUGAGUCCCCUGGAACGGGGCGCCAUAGAGGGUGAGAGCCCCGUAUAGUUGGAUGCCUAGCCUGUGUAAAGCUCCUUCGACGAGUCGAGUAGUUUGGGAAUGCUGCUCAAAAUGGGAGGUAAAUUUCUUCUAAAGCUAAAUACCGGCCAGAGACCGAUAGCGCACAAGUAGAGUGAUCGAAAGAUGAAAAGCACUUUGAAAAGAGGGUUAAAUAGCACGUGAAAUUGUUGAAAGGGAAGCGCUUGUGACCAGACUUGCGCCGGGCGGAUCAUCCGGUGUUCUCACCGGUGCACUCCGCCCGGCUCAGGCCAGCAUCGGUUCUCGCGGGGGGAUAAAGGUCCUGGGAACGUAGCUCCUCCGGGAGUGUUAUAGCCCGGGGCGUAAUGCCCUCGCGGGGACCGAGGUUCGCGCAUCUGCAAGGAUGCUGGCGUAAUGGUCAUCAGCGAC